UACUUUUGAAACUUGAAGAUCAACUAGGAGAAACUGACCAAUGAAUUACCAACAGCACAUGUGUUCCCAUAAACAUGUGGAAUCUCUGUGGAGUCCAGUAUACAUGGAAUAGCACUGGCACUGGGAAUAAUUACUUGCGCAAAACAAGUAGUACUUCUACAAAGGGAGUGGAAACGAUGCGAAUUUCAUUCAUUUUAGCCUCAACUCUUUUCUCCCAGAUCUCUCUAGCUUCAUUUCUCACCCCAACCUCCUUUACCACUCCACUUCCAGACAUCUAUCACCACUAUUUCUUUGAUCUGAAAUGUUCUCUCCUCUGCCCUGGCCCUAAGCAAGCAAAAUUCUGACUGUCAAGGUCCAGAUGAAAUGACCCCUCUCCCAUGAACCCCUUCCAGAUCUCUCCAAGAGGAGAAUGAAUGAUACACAUGGGAGGAAGGAGGGGCCAAAUUUUUGGCCUUUCUUUCAUCCCUACACCCAACUGUCUUUGGCUAUACCUUCAAAUAUUUCCAGAGUCUGACCACCUCCACUGGCUUGGAUAACAGUCUCCUAACAGAUCUCCAUGCUUACACCCUUGUCCCCUAUAAUCCAUUACCCUUUUAAAAGAAUAUUUAUUUCUUUAUUUGGGGGGGGCAGGCAAAGGGAGAGAGAGAAUCUCAAUCAGACUCCCCACUGAGAACAGAGCCUGACAUAGGUCUCAAUUCCAGGACCAUGAGAUCAUGACGUGAGCCAAAAUCAAGAGAUGGACAUUUAACUGACUGAGCUACCCAGCCACCCCUAAUCUAAUUUAUAAUACAGUACCCAGUCUGGUCUCGUUAAAAAAUGAAAUCAGAUCAUCUAGUUCAUCUGUUCAAAACCAUUCCCAAAUUCCCAAUUCUAGAGCAUAAUCCAAAAUCCUUAAUAUGGCCUGCAAGCCCUGUAAAAUUUAAUCUACUCCCAGACCCUUCCCUGAUUUCUUCACCUAGUAUUCUCUACCUCACUCAGCUCUAGCUGAACUGGCUCCUUGCUGUUCUUCCAAGAGAUGUAAUUCAGACACUGUUGGAAGAACCGCAAGGAGGCCAGUUCAGCUAGAGUGUAAUUACACUGGUCAAUUACACUCUCACCUUCAGGUUUUCAUAUUUGCUAGCCCCUCUGCUUGGAGUCCUCUUCUCCCAGAUGUACAUGCAGCUUGUUCCAAGUACUGCUCAAAUACCACCUUAUAAGAAAAACCUCCCCUGUUAACACUAUAUAAAACAGUUUAUACAUUCCCAUCAUUCUCUCUCUCCUUACUCCAAGUUAUUUUUCUUUUUAGCAUUUGUAAAUUAUAUUAUUAUCUCUUGCCCCCUCCCAUUCACCAGAAUAUAAGCUCCAUGCCCAUGAGGGCCUUUGCUAAUUCUGCCUACAUCGCAUAUACCACUGCUUGGCAUAUAGCAAAUACAACAGACUAUAUGUUCCUUAAUGUAUAAAAGAAAGAACAAAAAGCCUCCACAGACAUAUCCCAAAGUACUGUGUGUAAUUCAGACACUCAGCAAACAUUUAAUAAUUCCUUUUUUAAAAUAUGCGUAUAUGUCUUCUGGUCUAUCUAACAACGUUACUGGCCAAAGUCUUAUGUUAUAAAUCUAGGAAUUGUUUAGUCCUCCCAAAGGAAUCAGUUUUAAGUGAAAAAGUUCAGCCUCUGCUAUUAAAAGUAUCUAAGUUUAAAAGUUUAUGGCAAUCGGUAUUUUAUAGUUUAGUUUGAAACUGGAUCCAGUUUAAGGCUUCAACUAUACAAUCAGAAGCUCAUUCUUUCUCUUUUAUUUUUCUUUACCAUUUACCUAGUGAAAAGAGACAGAGAGUAUGCAUUAAAGAAGCCUCUGAAUUUGAACUCCAAAGAAAGCCCAGGUUCUAAACAAAAAGUGAAGUUUUUCUUUAUAAAUUUCUGGAGCUGAUUAAACUCAACCACAAAUUUUAUCUGUUUUGAACCACUUUAAAAUAUUUAAAGCACUGCCAGAUAUGUCAUUCUACAUGAAUCACAAGACUUUAUCAUAUAUACAGAUCCCAGAUAAUCCUGAAGACUGUGUUCUAAAUUAUAUAUUUGAGAACCUUUAGUUCAGUUAAAAUCAUGAUUUCAUUAAGUUAGAGAGUAGGGCAGGUUGGUGACUUAAGAAAUGUCCAAAAGUUAAGCAUUCCCAAAGCCUGCAGUAUCCAAGUGCUCAGAUCCCAAAGCUUUAGGUAAACACCUAAAGCUCAACAUUAAUAGAGGCUUCCCCAAGACAUUUCCCCCCAAAUAAUAAAACCAAUCCAUUUCUUUCUUCGGUGCUUAAAAAAGUGGUCAGGUUCAAACCACCUUCCCCAACUCCCCCCAAAACAAAAAAAAAAAUAUAUAUAUAUAUACAAAGGAAGGGAUUUGGGAUACAACUUCAGAUACAGAGAUCAGUAAGCAACCUAGGAAUAUACAAAUCAAUAAUCCCUCAGGUGGGUCCACAUAAACUGCAGAAUACCACAAUAUAACUGAAACUUUGGUCCACCACUGGCAAAUACAUAGCAAGGGACAAGAAAGGCAUAUAAAUCAUUCCUUUGUGAAUUCCUUUGCUUUACAAACAAGUACUAGAUUGCUAUGUCUACUUUAUAGAAAGUUAUUUCUAUUAUUAGAAAAAACUGAAAGCAAAGAGAGGUCAAGAGCCAAAUACAAGUAGAACUUCAUGCUGGCGCUGUGGGUUAAAAUUGCACAGGUAUACCGGGCUCAACCAUGAGGUAAUUUCAUCAAACAACCUGACUCUCUGAACAAUGAGUUAGGGAAAAGGACUGAACAGAAAGAUUUCUUUAUUCUCACACUCAUUCUCCCAUCUGUAAACACCGUUCUCUCCUUCUCACUCUCUCUCACACACUAACUGUGCAUUUCCACUGCCAAAAGCCACAUUAAAAGGCUAGGAAAAGACCACAAUCACCUGGUUAACCUCUAGCAUAACUACUGACUGGAGCAUGCUCUGAGUCCCCCAGCACUGGCUGUACUCUGCAAGUGGAUGUGGGUGCGUAAGCCCACUGGGGCUUAGGAAAAAGGAAAGUUCAAACAAUGUUCUUGUCAGCACUUUAAACAAAAAAUCCAUUCAGUGGGAAUGGCACCAUGUUCCUUUUGCCCUUUCUCCCUAGGAACUAAAUUAAACAGAUUACAGACAGCGGCAAGAUCUGGCCUUAGAACAGCCUCCCCCUUAUUUAUUAUUUUUAGCAAUUUAGUCCGACAACGCCUGACAACUAAACAUGCCUAGAAUAGCUAAAGGGAGGGGGGACUAUCAGAUACUACCAGCAAAAAAACACUAGUCAUCACUUCCUCCAACCCUAAGAAAGAAUCAUUUUCCAUGUCUUCAUAACAUCAUGCAGAGUUUGAGCUUUUAGAGUCUCACAUAAAAACAGAGUCCAUAUAAAACAUCAGUGGAAACCGAUAAUGCUUCCUGAUCUGGAGGAUUGUUCCACCCUCACAUGUGUUUUCUUAAAAACAAAAGCAGAAUAAAAUGAACUAAGUUGUUUUACACAAAAGUUAGGAGUAAAAUGCAUCUGUGUCCAUUCUGGAAGAAUUCCAUCACAAGAUAAUUAUGUACCCAAAAGAAGGGCUUCAUGAAUAGUGAUGGAAUUCAAAUAUUUUUAUUAUGCUGGUGACAGGUGAAAGAAUUGAAAUAAGCUUAAGUGAGGAAGGAGAAACUCCUCUAAUUAAUCAAAAUUAGGAAGAAAGCACCGCCCACAGACACUCUAUUUAUAAACGAAAUAAUGUACUAAAAAUUCUCAGAAAAAAUGAAAAAACAAAAGGGAUAACGUAGUAGAACUAUCUGCUUCAGCAGAUUAAAAUUCAUAAAAAUACUUUUUUUAUUGUUUAGUAAGGUAAAAUGUCCAUGUGUUCAGGAAUUUUAUGAUUUAUGAAUAAUUUCUGAACAUUUUUUGCCACUAUUCCAAGUAUGAUGUAUUAUAAGACAGUAUAAAAUAAAGCUCUACAAACGAAUAAAAUGAUGUCUUUCUGGGUCUGUUAUUUUAACUUACAUAUGUGGGAUUAAUAAUACAGCUCCAUGCAAAAGUAUCUCUAAAACAGGUAAUGCCCAAUAUAUACCUUAAGCUAUCACAAGCAAUUACUGUAAUUUAAGCAACUACUACAAAGAUAUCAAAAGAAAUGUUACCUUUUACUACAUUUUAAAUCACAAAGCUGUGAGCAGAAAACUACUUUUAUUUUACCUUCAAAGAAAAGGAUUCCAAUUAACUUGUUAAAUUAAAUCUGGACAUGAAAGGAAACUGAUUUUUGUUUUGUUUUGCCUCCUUCCAUCUUUUUUUAAGAGGGCAUUUUUGCUCCUCAAGUUUCAAUUCAGAAGAAUACCAAGGCUAUAACAAUAAAUUUAACAGAACUGCCCGCAGAUAUCUUCUAAUCCAAUCUCUCAUUUUACAGAUGAGGACACUGAAGCUUAGAGUACAGCAGGGGGUAGAAUUCAGAACUCCUAACUCAGCAGAAGGUAUUUAAAUUAGGAAUCUAGGGUAAUGAAUGCUCUGUUGUAAAUCUAGUAGACUUGGAGAUCUCUAUUUAUGGUUCAAAUAUCAGUAUGGAUCUUGUUCUUUUGAGCCGACAUGCACAGUGUGCUCAUUAGUACAGGUGUGGCCUGUCCACACUGAGUUUCGAACAACUCACUCCCUCUGGCCAGUAUCUAUUACUUCGGGUUAGGGAAGACUUGUGUUUGUAAGGACUGACCAGACUCAGAAUCUAGAGUAAAGAAAAUAUACUGAUUAACAUCCCCUUACCAUCUAGAUACAAGAGCAGGGAGGCAUGCAGUAACAUGAAAGGAAAUUCAAAGUCGAACUCAUCAAAGAAAUCAUUCUCUAGACAGGCUGAAAGUGACUGCAGGAACUCUCAUGCAUGGGAGGGAGGAGGAUAAAGACAAAUAAUCAUGGUUAGGCACAGAGAAAAGUCAGAUCACAAAAAAUACAAAACAGUGAAACUUGAGGUCAGUCAACAACCCUCUGAAGCACUUAAAGGGAUAGUCUGGUGUGGAUAUAGACAAAUAUUCUAAGAAGGAAAUCAAGGCACCCUGGGAAUGCAUUCUACAAUAAAGGAUUAAUAGACUGAAGAUGCAGAAAGCUUGACUCAAGUCUAAUUGGAAUGCAAAUCCUUCUUUUACCUUAACUAUAAAAUGAAGACACACAUAUCAGUCAACAAAUGAAAUCAGAGCAGUGUUAUGUGUAAAAUAUUUGUAAUAUGUAUUUUACAAAUAAGGAAGACUGUCUAGUUAACAGGCCAAAUCUAUUUGAAAGGAUCACAUCUGAGUUCUCACCAGAGCUGAAAUACUAUUUUUGAAGUAAACUCUAUCCCCAAUGUACGACUCAAACUGACAACCCUGAAAUAAAGAGUCACAUGUUAUACUGACUGAGACAGCCAGGCAUCCCUGAACUGAAAUAUUUCUAAUAAGGAAGUGAAAUACCUCACAGUUUACAUUGGGUAAAUAUUAGAUCUUGGAUCAUAACAAAACAUAUACACUGACAGAGGCAUUGAAAAUACUGCUAAUAACCAACAAAGAAUACUCAACCAGAAAAAGAGCAUACUGGGCUUUUUCAGACUCAUUUUUCUCCAAAAGCCAAAGAGGAAGAUUAUGCAGCUACAUUAAGCCUUAAGACACCAGGAGAGAGAGAAUAUAUAUAGUUCACUACAAACUUUAGGGCUUCCAACCAUCAGGCUCUUUUAGAUUUAAGUCUUAAAUAACUAAAAACUAUUUUAAAACAAACACCCAUUUUUAUAAAUGUUGAGAAUGCAAAUGAAAUUCUAUAAAGAGAUAAGUAUUCAUAUCUGAAAUCCCAAAGUAUGGGAUGGCAAGAGAAACAUCACUGAGGACUCUCCAAGUCAAAACAUGGAACAGAGAUGAAUUUACUAACUUGCAAUUAUUUUUUUUAACAACAAAAAAGCCACUCAGAGGGUCUAGUGACCUAGCUGGAGGUGGGAUACCAUCAAGCUAAUUUUUAGAGUACAGACAUUUUAUACUUUAGUACUCAAAGUCUUGGGUCAGAGCAGCAUAGGUCUCUGAAAAAGAGCUCCCUUCAGCAAAUGACUAAAGAUUAAUUGUACAUUCUAUUAAACAUCUUGACUUGUUAAGAAUAAAAAUGGACUCUCUAUGAAGAUAAAUUGUGGUAACUCUACAUAAUGGAAUAACAUACAGCAAUGAAAAUGAACAAAUCACAAUCUCGAGUAACACAGACAUACCUCACAAACACAACGGUGAUCAAAAGGAGGCAAAAAAUACAUAUAGAGUGAUUUUGUUCAUAUGAAGCGUAAGAACAAACGGAAGUAAAAUACACUGUUUGGGGGGGAUAUAUAUAGGUGGUAAUUUUUUUUUUUUAAGAUUUUAUUUUAUUUUAUUUUUAUUUAUUUAUCAGAGAGAGAGAGGGAGGGAGAGAGAGCCAUCACAGGCAGACAGAAUGGCAGGCAGAGGCAGAGGUAGAAGCAGGCUCCCCGCCGAGCAAGGAGCCCGAUGUGGGACUCGAUCCCAGGACGCUGGGAUCAUGACCUGAGCCGAAGGCAGCUGCUUAACCAACUGAGCCACCUAGGCGUCCCUAGGUGGUAAAAUUUUUAAAAAGGAGAAAGGAAAAGAAUACAAUUGCACCAAAAACAGUAAGAUACCUUGGAAUAAACCUAACCAAAGAGGUACAAGACCUGUACUCUGAAACCUUAACACUGAUGAAAGAAAUUAAAGAUGACACAAGAAACAGAAA
Molecule: long non-coding RNA, 6684 nt
Organism: Mustela lutreola (European mink)
Lineage: Eukaryota; Metazoa; Chordata; Mammalia; Carnivora; Mustelidae
Exons: 2
Source: RefSeq, a predicted model, not a curated record